Molecule: ribosomal RNA, 492 nt
Filed under: uncultured bacterium
Lineage: Bacteria
Description: partial 16S ribosomal RNA
Rfam family: Bacterial small subunit ribosomal RNA
Source: RNAcentral
AGUGAACGCUGGCGGUAGGCCUAACACAUGCCAGUCGAACGUCAGCCCAGUAAGAGCUUGCUCUUACGGGUGGCGAGUGGCGGACGGGUGAGGAAUACGUCGGAAUCUACUUUUUCGUGGGGGAUAACGUAGGGAAACUUACGCUAAUACCGCAUACGACCUACGGGUGAAAGCAGGGGUUCUUCGGACCUUGCGCGAAUGAAUGAGCCGAUGUCGGAUUAGCUAGUUGGCGGGGUAAAGGCCCACCAAGGCGACGCUCCGUAGCUGGUCUGAGAGGAUGAUCAGCCACACUAGAACUGAGACACGGUCCAGACUCCUACGGGAGGCAGCAGUGGGGAAUAUUGGACAAUGGGCGCAAGCCUGAUCCAGCCAUACCGCGUGGGUGAAGAAGGCCUUCGGGUUGUAAAGCCCUUUUGUUGGGAAAGAAAAGCAGCAGGUUAAUACCCCGCUGUUCUGACGGUACCCAAAGAAUAAGCACCGGCUAACUUCGUG